Molecule: ribosomal RNA, 252 nt
Filed under: uncultured bacterium
Lineage: Bacteria
Description: partial 16S ribosomal RNA
Rfam family: Bacterial small subunit ribosomal RNA
Source: RNAcentral
UACGAAGGGUGCAAGCGUUACUCGGAAUUACUGGGCGUAAAGCGUGCGUAGGUGGUUGUUAAGUCUGUUGUGAAAUCCCCGGGCUCAACCUGGGAAUGGCAAUGGAUACUGGCAAGCUAGAGUGUAGUAGAGGGAGGUGGAAUUUCCGGUGUAGCGGUGAAAUGCGUAGAGAUCGGGAGGAACACCAGUGGCGAAGGCGGCCUCCUGGACUAACACUGACGCUGAGGUACGAAAGCGUGGGGAUCAAACAGG